RNAcentral lists this long non-coding RNA (3214 nucleotides) under Limulus polyphemus (Atlantic horseshoe crab). RNAcentral's name for it is "uncharacterized LOC106474712, transcript variant X4". The record is from RNAcentral. Lineage: Eukaryota; Metazoa; Arthropoda; Merostomata; Xiphosura; Limulidae.
CAGGUGCAGCGCCGUCAAUGUUUAGAGGCGUCAUUCAAAAUUAGUCUAAAGUUUCUAGCGUGUUACGAAAUCUUUAUCGCCACCUAAGAAAUUCUUCCGAGAAAAUUUAUUUGAAUUACAGCAUGAUUUAUGAUCGAAUAUUAUAAAGUCUAGUGUCACGUGCUACCAGGUUCAAUACAGAGUGGUAUAUUUAUACUAUUACUAUCAGUGAAACAUGCAUAUUUUAAAUGGAAUCAGACAAUAGUUUGUUGCAUGGAUUUUUAAAUGUUUUUCAUGAGGAGUAGAGAUAGAUGGGCACAAAAGUAUAUUAUAAACAUGGAUGUGAACUCAUAGCAAGUACUGUGCUAAUUAUAUGGGAAGGCAUAGCUUAGCAUUUCCUAGAGAAAAAUCCUGAAGCUGUCAUUGAAGCAUUGUUCAAUGGAUAAAACCAGACCUCAAGAGAGAUUAUGGAGAGAGAGAACAGCCACAGAACGUGGAUUUAUUCUAAGAAUACUUCUCUGUCAACAAAUUUAAACUUUAUAUUCAUAAGAAAAUGGCAGUUUUAUCAAAAAGUAAAAGGAAAAGAAUAUUUGAGGAAGAAGAAAUGGAUCUGUUGGUGAAAUGUAGAAAAUUUAGUCUUACUUUAUUUUAUGAAAGAAAUAAAGUGAUAAGUAGGGUUAAGGAAGUGGCCCAGUACACCUAUGGCACAUCUCUGAGACAUGAAUGAUUUCUACAGGCAUGAAGUUGGAAGAUGGUGGCAGAACAUGAACAAAGAAAAUGUUUGUUUCUCGUAGGAUGACAGUUCAGUUGAGGCUAAAAUGAAAGAUGAAUGCAGUUACCUCAAACUAAGAUAAACCCACGUCUUUCCAAUGAAUAGAAAAAAAUUGAAACUUAGUGGGGGUUGUGCAGAAGAUAUGAAUUAAUUUCAUGAAACUGCCUAAAUUCACAGUUUGCACUUGAAGUAAAUUUGGUCAGAAACCUAUGUUUUGAGUCUGAAAUAAUUUUCAAUGUUACUUGAAGACACCAUUGAGGAAUUUGAAAUGAUUUUUGUAUUAAAACUACAUAUAUAUAAAAACUUGACUAAACUAUCAAUCCUUCAAACUAAGUCCACACAACUUCACUAAAUGAUAUGUUUUAGACAAUUACAUAAAAAGUGGUAAUUAUCCUGUUAUAUUUUAUUUAUUUUUUUACAUUUUUUUCAGCAAGUUCUCUAAAACUGAGGAACAAUUGUAUGUACUUCUUCAUCAGAUGAUAAAUCAUUAGAGUUAUAGUAUGUCAUGUAUUUAUUUUUUUUAGCUUGUAUACUUACAAAGCUAUAUUUGAUUACUAGGCCUACUUCAACUGUUUCUUAUGAGGAAGAAUAGGGUAUCUGAAUUUAAACUAGUUAGCAUUUCUUAAAGGCUUAAGUUUUUUUAUUUUUCAAUUGGGAUUAGUUUAGUAUCAUUGCAAGUGUAAGCAAGAUACAUAUAUGUAUAUAUUUCACUGAUUAGGCCAGACAUAACCUAGUAUUAAGAGUGCUGGAAUGUGAAUCUGAGGAUCCAUGGUUCAUGUCCCUUUGCUCAAAAAUCACUCCACAUUUUGGGACUGUGAGUGCAUUAUAAGAGUGAUGGUCAACUCCUACUAUUCAAUUAGAGUAGUCCAAAAGUUGUUGGUGAGUACUGUUGACUAGCUGCCUGCCCUCUAGUGUAUCACUUCAAAAUUAGGGUGACUAGUACAGAUAUCCAUUGUGUUGCUUUGCAUGACAAAAAACAACAACAAAUUUUACAAAUUCUGUGUAUCUUUAGGUAGGUGUAGUUACCAGUGAAGUAACAUGUCAAAUCAGGGGAAGCAUGCAUUUGAAGACUCUUGCUUAUACAAGUAGAACAUUGCCCAAUGGUAUCUAAAAUGGAACAGCUUUGAGGAAUUUUGCAACUUUGCUACAAAACUAUUUCAAUUGAAAACUAUGUCCAUAGACGUAUAAAAAUCCAAAAUUUGUUUGGGCAAGUCUCACCUAACCCUAACCACAGUAGAGACAACAGUAAAGAUCAGUGCCACAACCAGAAUGCACUAUCACAAUUUGCUCUUCCAGCCCCUGCAUACCAGAUCCGUGACUAGUCAGAUUAUUCCUCUUCAAGAAAACUUGACAACAGAAAUCAAAGAAGCAGAAAAUCUGUGGGCAAUGAAUGUUGCAGGCAAGGACUUUUCAUUUGCUAAAUGUGAUGAUGUUAGUCAACCUUUCCUUCAGAUAUUCAACUGUUCACUCACCAUCAGUUUUGGAAAAUGGGGAUUAACAAAGAUGUUGUAUGUUUUUUCAGAUAGCCUACGACCCCCUGCUAAAGAAACUGGUGAAUCCAGGAUAUACCAUAUUGCAUGAUAAAACCACCACUGAUCAAGAUGUAAAGCAUAUUGAUGGGCUUAUUAGAAACUGGUCAAAAAUCCAAAAUCAGAUUCCAGGGGAUACCUUGGGGCUUUCUAUUUGGUAGUAUCAAAAGAAAGUAUGCAUAAAAAAUCAUGCAUUUCCUAAAAACAGAAAUAGCUAUUCCUCCGAGGCUUUUUAUAAGGUUAUUAAGUGAUUUGGAAUGAGAUCAAUGAUGUCUCGAAGGAAGCUGACUGUGAAGGUCUUCUUUACUUCAUUCCCAGCAACCUUCGUGCCAUACAUAAUGCAUUCAGAGCUAGCCUAGAUGUAUCCAGAAAACCUUAUCUACAAUCUAUAUAGGCUUUUCAAAAAGAUGCCUUGCAAAAUAGAAGAUUUCCAAUAAGUGAACUUGAGACAUGUGAAUAGCAUGUAGAUGACCCUAGUACUAGCACUGGAUUGUAUCAAUGAUAAAUGGUAUGCCACAAAUAAAUAUUUCCUAAUACCACUCAGAAUAGGCCAGGAAGGACAAGACAGAAUAACAAUUUUCAAAAAAUGAAAAGUAACAGAACAUACACCAAUUACUUGCCUCUAUAAAAAUUCUACCAGCACUCUUCUGCUGUGUUCGUGAGAACAGAAAUAAGAGGUUACCAUGUGAAAAUAUAACACAAUAUCUUCUGUAUACUUCUGUAUUUUGUUGUCUUUUGUAGUUAAUGUGACUUUUAUUUGCCCUAAUUUUUAAACAGUUGCCUCAUAUUAUCCAUAUAUUUUUCACUAGAUUUCCUUAUUUUAUGCCCAGAAUCUGCAAUCACUUCUGAAUCCUAAUCUGAUUUUCCUAAAGAAAUAAUCAUUAUACAAUUAGGGUGGACUUUUCAGCUGAGAAUAAAAAUGUUUUAUAAAAUA